UAGACUGGAUUCUCCCCAAGAUAAACUGAAAUGGAUUUUCAACGUAUUUGACAAAGAUGGGGGUGGGACUAUAGAUAGAGAGGAAAUAAGCUCAAUGGUCAAAGGACUCUUCUCUAUGGCUCAGACUGAUGUUGAUACUGAGGAGAUAAAAGAUUGUUGUGAUGAAAUAAUAACAGCAAUAGAUAAAGAUGGAGAUGGAGAAAUAACCAGAGAGGAGUUUGUAGAGAAUGCAAUGAAGAGUGUUUUCAUCAGUAAUAUGCUUUGUGGGGCAGAUGGGGAGGAUACUUAGAUGCAGCGCAGUACAGUACAGUGUAUACUUUACAUGUUAAUUAUGUACAGUACUGAGCUUAAGUUGGGCGUGUACAUUAUACAGUGCUGUGAACAGUAGACAUGUUGAACAGUUUAAAUUGUACUGAUCCCAAGUCAAAUAUAUAAAUGAUAUGUACAUUGUAUGUAUGUAUGUAUAAAAUACGGAUGAUAUGUACAUUGAAAAUGUAUAAAAUACUGAUGAUAUGUAUAUCGAAAAUGAAAACCAUUAUGUCACACCCAACUAUGAGAAAUGGAUAUAUGUAUAAAUCCAUUAUUCUUGUAUACAUACUGACCACUGUAUGUAAAGUCACACAUAUUGUUCAAUGUACAUACAUUAAAUUGAUUUCAUGUCAAAUAUUCCAAGUUUAUUUGUAAAUAUAAAAAAUCGUUAGAUAUAUGAUUCCAUUUAAAUAAUGUUCCAUUUGAUCAUAUCUUAUUAAUUACAGCAUAAUAUGAAAUAAAUAUAAUUCAAUUUUA
Molecule: long non-coding RNA, 786 nt
Organism: Eurytemora carolleeae
Lineage: Eukaryota; Metazoa; Arthropoda; Copepoda; Calanoida; Temoridae
Exons: 4
Source: RefSeq, a predicted model, not a curated record